Molecule: ribosomal RNA, 282 nt
Filed under: uncultured bacterium
Lineage: Bacteria
Description: partial 16S ribosomal RNA
Rfam family: Bacterial small subunit ribosomal RNA
Source: RNAcentral
UAGGGAAUCUUCCACAAUGGACGCAAGUCUGAUGGAGCAACGCCGCGUGAGUGAAGAAGGUUUUCGGACCGUAAAGCUCUGUUGUUGGUGAAGAAGGAUAGAGGUAGUAACUGGCCUUUAUUUGACGGUAAUCAACCAGAAAGUCACGGCUAACUACGUGCCAGCAGCCGCGGUAAAUACGUAGGUGGCAAGCGUUGUCCGGAUUUAUUGGGCGUAAAGCGAGCGCAGGCGGAAGAAUAAGUCUGAUGUGAAAGCCCUCGGCUUAACCGAGGAAUUGCAUCG